This is a long non-coding RNA of Neoarius graeffei (lesser salmon catfish), 1856 nucleotides long. RefSeq lists it as uncharacterized. NCBI's taxonomy places the organism in Eukaryota, Metazoa, Chordata, Actinopteri, Siluriformes, Ariidae. The transcript has 2 exons. The record is from RefSeq and is a predicted model, not a curated record.
CUUGUCCUCACACUCUCCCCUCCAAGAUUUAAUGGCAUCCUGAUAUUUACAUGAUGGAUUUUGUUUAAGUUGAAGAAGCUGGAAAUAUUGUGACUGGUCAGCAUCCUCUUGGUCACUGCAUGAGGUUUCAGUCUGGUGAUCACCCUCAGCAUCCUGUGUGUCAGUGUCGUUCUCUCGUGUCUCCGUAUCCUCUUCCUGCUGACCCACCUGGUGUUCUGUGUUGUCCUCAUCAUUGAAAUCCUCUGCUCCAUUUUCUAGAUCGACCUCUGGUGCCUCUGUCCACAGAUGUUGCUCACCCUGUUCCCUGACUUCUGCUUGCAAUCCUGUAAUUCCUCUCCAGUUGUCCUCAUCCUCUGAACUGUGCUCUUGUUGCUUGUGUCUCUGCUUGCUUUUCUGUGUUCUCUUCCUUGGCUCUGCACGUGACACCAGAACACACUAUAGCGGAUUGAACGUUGCUUCCUCUUUGGUUUUAAGGUGGAGAUUUUUUUUCCACAAAUCUCUCAGCUGAGUGACUCUUUAGCUCAGACAAGCUACUAUGGAUUUUUGUUAUUGUUUUGAGUGAUGAGUACCACAGUAUGAUGCUUCCCCUCACCCCCCUUUUUUUUUUUUUUAAAGCUGUGAAUGAAGGUACAUCAUGUUGACACUACCGUUUAGAUUUAAAAGUAGACGGCCUUUUAGUUUCAUAAAAUCAGUGAAAUUUAGUUCCCUCUGAAAUGUGGUUAUUAUGAUGUUUAUUUCUGUAAUAUCUCACAAAAUCUCAGGCCAUUCUGUGGCUGAGAAGUUAUUUAAUUUGAGGGGAUUCCCGAGCAAAUUAUGUGUGUGAAAUCGCUCGCUUUGUGCAGUCAAGCAAACAGACGAAGUCCGGUGUACACGUGCAGUUUUACCUUUUGGUGUCGUCUUCUUCUUUUGGGUUUUACGGCAGCUGGCAUCCACAGUGUUUCAUUACUGCCAUCUGCAGGUUUAUCUUUGACCGUGCACUGAUAGUUCCAUCAUUCUGUCGCUAAACGAACAGCUGAUUACACCGAGGUGCUCGCUGACCGCCAAUAUUUAUUAGUUUGGUCCUGCGUUUCCUUUCCUUCACAACAUAACGUCUUUUCUUCUCACUUUCCGUUACUGUAGUCGGUCUUUCACGUUUCAUUCGCAUCCUCCAUUUUUCUCUCCUGUUUCAAAUUUGUAUCCCACAAUGCCUUGUGCGAACGGGGAAAGCUGACCAUGUGAUGCGUGACAUAGUAUUGUGAACUGGAUCAUGGUGAAGCAGGAAAAAAUAGCAGAGAAUUUAGUGCCACGUGGCCCUAAGUUAAUUAAUUGUUCUAUUCAAAAAAACUAAUAAAAUUGGAAGUCUGUGAUUUCAAAUUCAGUAGCUUUCAGUCCACUAAACAAAAUUAAUUGGGUGUCAGGGAAAAUUCUUUUUAUGACCUCAACCUAAAAAAUCUGAAAGGCAGUCUACCUUUAACACUAAAUAAUUGUUUUCUGGCUCUAAAGUGCUUGAAAGAUAAAACACAAUGUGGCUCAAGCUGAAUGAGUGAUUCAGUAACCCGUUAGCUUCUGUUCACUUGUGUGUGUGUGUGUGUGUGUGUGUGUACAUUUUUAGAGCUGUAAGAUCUUUUAGUGAAACACUGCUGUACAAUAUGAAUGUGUUGUUGUUGUUGUUGUUGUUGUGUGUUUUUACCAUGGACACUUGUUUCAUACUGAGGUGUGUUGAUUCUAUUUGUGUUUUAUUAUUUUGGUGUGUGUUAUGAAUGUACCGGGGAGGGGGUGAUGGGUUGACUUGACACUCAGGUUGUACACCACAUUAAUAUUCAGUGUUUUUGUCCUGCAAUAAAAAUGUGAUGGACAGACAGUUCCAUAAAACAGAA